UACAGAGACCUCAAGCGUUAUCCGGAAUCAUUGGGCGUAAAGCGUUCCGAUAGGUGGUUAUACAAGUCAGAUGUGAAAUCUCCGAGCUCAACUCGGAAUCUGUCAUUUGAAACUGUAUGACUAGAGGGGCAAAGAGGAAGUUAGAACGAACGGUGUAGUAGUGAAAUGCGUUGAUAUCGUUCGGAAUACCGAUAGCGAAGGCAGACUUCUGGGUGCCACCUGACACUGCUAGGACGAAAGCGUGGGGAGCGAAUGGGAUUAGAACCU
This 267-nucleotide ribosomal RNA is filed under the name uncultured bacterium. RNAcentral describes it as "partial 16S ribosomal RNA". It matches the Rfam family "Bacterial small subunit ribosomal RNA", at positions 524 to 786 of the family's 1533-position model. The record is from RNAcentral.